RNAcentral lists this ribosomal RNA (253 nucleotides) under uncultured bacterium. RNAcentral describes it as "partial 16S ribosomal RNA". It matches the Rfam family "Bacterial small subunit ribosomal RNA", at positions 524 to 776 of the family's 1533-position model. The record is from RNAcentral.
UACGAAGGGGGCUAGCGUUGCUCGGAAUUACUGGGCGUAAAGCGCACGUAGGCGGCUUUCUAAGUCGGGGGUGAAAUCCUGGAGCUCAACUCCAGAACUGCCUUCGAUACUGGAGAGCUUGAGUCCGGGAGAGGUGGGUGGAACUGCGAGUGUAGAGGUGAAAUUCGUAGAUAUUCGCAAGAACACCAGUGGCGAAGGCGGCUCACUGGCCCGGUACUGACGCUGAGGUGCGAAAGCGUGGGGAGCAAACAGG